GAUGGAUGUCAAGUUUCCAAGAACGACAACGAAAAUAGCAAGAUGCGAUACGGAAUACGAU
RNAcentral lists this ribosomal RNA (61 nucleotides) under Pseudo-nitzschia pungens. Its description in RNAcentral is "partial 5.8S ribosomal RNA". The record is from RNAcentral. Lineage: Eukaryota; Bacillariophyta; Bacillariophyceae; Bacillariales; Bacillariaceae.